Molecule: ribosomal RNA, 253 nt
Filed under: uncultured bacterium
Lineage: Bacteria
Description: partial 16S ribosomal RNA
Rfam family: Bacterial small subunit ribosomal RNA
Source: RNAcentral
UACGUAGGGUGCGAGCGUUAAUCGGAAUUACUGGGCGUAAAGCGUGCGCAGGCGGUUCGUUAAGUUCGUUGUGAAAGCCCCGGGCUCAACCUGGGAACUGCAAUGGAAACUGGCGGGCUUGAGUGUGGCAGAGGGGGGUGGAAUUCCGCGUGUAGCAGUGAAAUGCGUAGAGAUGCGGAGGAACACCGAUGGCGAAGGCAGCCCCCUGGGCCAACACUGACGCUCAGGCACGAAAUCGUGGGGAGCGAACAGG